GGCGGGCAGCAACCUGACGAAGCCGGACCCGGGGUGCUGCCCGGAGCUGGAUAACUUGGUGAACACACAGCCAGUAUGCUUGUGUGAGCUGCUUGGGCAGCCCGGUCAGGUUGGGAUCUCCAUUGAUUUGAAUAGGGCUCUUAAGCUGCCCGCAGCCUGCAAUGUCGCCACUCCUCCAGUUAGCUUGUGUGCAGCUAUUGGUAUUCCAGUUGGAGUUCCUGCACCAAGUGAAGCCCCAUCAGAUGGCAUAUCAGCAGCAGCAAGCCCAUCUCCUGCGACUGGGAGUGGGGACAAUCCAAGUUCAAGCAACUUAGGCUUGAAGCCCCAUUUUCUCAUUGGAUUAGCAGCUCUUUGCUUCACGUAUGUCUUCUAAGCAGACCAACCAUUUCUUCAGUUCAUACUCAUUGAUUUUAUCUUGAUUUCAUCAUUCUUAAUUAUAUGUUGUAGCUAGAUGUUCUAUGUCUCUCUCUCUCUCUCCCCAGCUAUUUUGGACACUAUCUUGACCUUCAUUUAUGUAUUUCAAUUUGUACUUUUAUUAUGAUUCUCUUCUGAAGAAUUCAUGAAAAUAAUCGCCUUAUUUUC
This is a non-coding RNA of Sesamum indicum (sesame), 582 nucleotides long. NCBI's taxonomy places the organism in Eukaryota, Viridiplantae, Streptophyta, Magnoliopsida, Lamiales, Pedaliaceae. The record is from RefSeq and is a predicted model, not a curated record.